This 60-nucleotide microRNA precursor is filed under the name Triops cancriformis. RNAcentral describes it as "microRNA tcf-mir-315 precursor". Its record names the gene tcf-mir-315. The record is from miRBase by way of RNAcentral. Lineage: Eukaryota; Metazoa; Arthropoda; Branchiopoda; Notostraca; Triopsidae.
UUUUGAUUGUUGCUCAGAAAGCCGUGCGACAAGUGAGGCUUUCGAGUAACAAUCAGAGUC